GACGAACGCUGGCGGCGUGCUUAACACGUGCAAGUCGAACGGAAAGGCCCUGCUUUUGUGGGGUGCUCGAGUGGCGAACGGGUGAGUAACACGUGAGUAACCUGCCCUUGACUUUGGGAUAACUUCAGGAAACUGGGGCUAAUACCGGAUAGGAGCUCCUGCUGCAUGGUGGGGGUUGGAAAGUUUCGGCGGUUGGGGAUGGACUCGCGGCUUAUCAGCUUGUUGGUGGGGUAGUGGCUUACCAAGGCUUUGACGGGUAGCCGGCCUGAGAGGGUGACCGGCCACAUUGGGACUGAGAUACGGCCCAGACUCCUACGGGAGGCAGCAGUGGGGAAUAUUGCACAAUGGGCGGAAGCCUGAUGCAGCAACGCCGCGUGCGGGAUGACGGCCUUCGGGUUGUAAACCGCUUUCGCCUGUGACGAAGCGUGAGUGACGGUGAUGGGUAAAGAAGCACCGGCUAACUACGUGCCAGCAGCCGCGGUGAUACGUAGGGUGCGAGCGUUGUCCGGAUUUAUUGGGCGCAAAGGGCUCGUAGGUGGUUGAUCGCGUCGGAAGUGUAAUCUUGGGGCUUAACCCUGAGCGUGCUUUCGAUACGGGUUGACUUGAGGAAGGUAGGGGAGAAUGGAAUUCCUGGUGGAGCGGUGGAAUGCGCAGAUAUCAGGAGGAACACCAGUGGCGAAGGCGGUUCUCUGGGCCUUUCCUGACGCUGAGGAGCGAAAGCGUGGGGAGCGAACAGGCUUAGAUACCCUGGUAGUCCACGCUGUAAACGGUGGGUACUAGGUGUGGGGUCCAUUCCACGGGUUCCGUGCCGUAGCUAACGCUUUAAGUACCCCGCCUGGGGAGUACGGCCGCAAGGCUAAAACUCAAAGGAAUUGACGGGGCCCCGCACAAGCGGCGGAGCAUGCGGAUUAAUUCGAUGCAACGCGUAGAACCUUACCUGGGUUUGACAUGGAUCGGGAGUGCUCAGAGAUGGGUGUGCCUCUUUUGGGGUCGGUUCACAGGUGGUGCAUGGCUGUCGUCAGCUCGUGUCGUGAGAUGUUGGGUUAAGUCCCGCAACGAGCGCAACCCUUGUUCACUGUUGCCAGCACGUUAUGGUGGGGACUCAGUGGAGACCGCCGGGGUCAACUCGGAGGAAGGUGGGGAUGACGUCAAGUCAUCAUGCCCCUUAUGUCCAGGGCUUCACGCAUGCUGCAAUGGCUGGUACAGAGAGUGGCGAGCCUGUGAGGGUGAGCGAAUCUCGGAAAGCCGGUCUCAGUUCGGAUUGGGGUCUGCAACUCGACCUCAUGAAGUCGGAGUCGCUAGUAAUCGCAGAUCAGCAACGCUGCGGUGAAUACGUUCCCGGG
RNAcentral lists this ribosomal RNA (1343 nucleotides) under uncultured bacterium. RNAcentral's name for it is "16S ribosomal RNA". It matches the Rfam family "Bacterial small subunit ribosomal RNA", at positions 28 to 1378 of the family's 1533-position model. The record is from RNAcentral.